Molecule: ribosomal RNA, 254 nt
Filed under: uncultured bacterium
Lineage: Bacteria
Description: partial 16S ribosomal RNA
Rfam family: Bacterial small subunit ribosomal RNA
Source: RNAcentral
UACGGGGGGAGCAAGCGUUGUUCGGAUUUACUGGGCGUAAAGGGCGCGUAGGCGGUCAGCACAAGUCAGUUGUGAAAUCUCCGAGCUUAACUCGGAAAUGGCAUCGGAUACUAUUCUGCUAGAGGGCUGGAGAGGAGACUGGAAUUCUCGGUGUAGCAGUGAAAUGCGUAGAUAUCGAGAGGAACACCCGUGGCGAAGGCAAGUCUCUGGACAGCACCUGACACUGAGGCACGAAAGCUAGGGGAGCAAACAGG